GACGGAGGGUGCAAGCGUUGCUCGGAAUAAUUGGGCAUAAAGGGUAGGUAGGUGGUUUGAAAAGUCUGGGGUGAAAGCCUAGAGCUUAACUCAAGAAGGGCCUCAGAAACAUUCAGACUAGAGUUCUGGAGAGGGUCGUAGAAUUCCCGGUGGAGCGGUGAAAUGCGUAGAGAUCGGGAGGAAUACCAGAGGCGAAGGCGACGACCUGGAAAGAAACUGACACUGAACUACGAAAGCGUGGGGAGCAAACAGG
RNAcentral lists this ribosomal RNA (253 nucleotides) under uncultured bacterium. RNAcentral's name for it is "partial 16S ribosomal RNA". It matches the Rfam family "Bacterial small subunit ribosomal RNA", at positions 524 to 776 of the family's 1533-position model. The record is from RNAcentral.